UACGGGAGGCAGCAGGGGGGAAUUUUGGACAAUGGGCGAAAGCCUGAUCCAGCAAUGCCGCGUGUGUGAAGAAGGCCUUCGGGUUGUAAAGCACUUUUGUCCGGAAAGAAAUGGCUCUGGUUAAUACCUGGGGUCGAUGACGGUACCGGAAGAAUAAGGACCGGCUAACUACGUGCCAGCAGCCGCGGUAAUACGUAGGGUCCAAGCGUUAAUCGGAAUUACUGGGCGUAAAGCGUGCGCAGGCGGUUGUGCAAGACCGAUGUGAAAUCCCCGAGCUUAACUUGGGAAUUGCAUUGGUGACUGCACGGCUAGAGUGUGUCAGAGGGGGGUAGAAUUCCACGUGUAGCAGUGAAAUGCGUAGAGAUGUGGAGGAAUACCGAUGGCGAAGGCAGCCCCCUGGGAUAACACUGACGCUCAUGCACGAAAGCGUGGGGAGCAAACAGGAUUAGAUACCCUGGUAGUCCACGCCCUAAACGAUGUCAACUAGUUGUUGGGGAUUCAUUUCCUUAGUAACGUAGCUAACGCGUGAAGUGA
This 534-nucleotide ribosomal RNA is filed under the name uncultured Ralstonia sp. RNAcentral's name for it is "bacterial SSU rRNA". It matches the Rfam family "Bacterial small subunit ribosomal RNA", at positions 340 to 868 of the family's 1533-position model. The record is from RNAcentral. Lineage: Bacteria; Pseudomonadati; Pseudomonadota; Betaproteobacteria; Burkholderiales; Burkholderiaceae.